ACCAGAUGCUCCGCAGGGUGUAGCUUUAUACGACAGCAGAGGUUGAACCCUGAACGGUUGGGGCAAGUAUGGACACAACAUUCAAGCUGGAUUCAGCUCUAAAUUUGGAUUGUGAUUAAAUAGUUGACACAGCAUAGGUUUCUGACACAGAAUGAAUGUGUUCUAAUGAACUUAAAAUUUUUGUUUUCUCUUAGAGCAAUUCACUAUGCUGUUGAAUACUAAUC
This 224-nucleotide long non-coding RNA is filed under the name Mytilus galloprovincialis (Mediterranean mussel). Lineage: Eukaryota; Metazoa; Mollusca; Bivalvia; Mytilida; Mytilidae. The record is from RNAcentral.